UCCAUCACGUCCUUAUGCUCCCGUUGUGUAAGGCGUGGUCUUCUGUCCGGUCAUCUCCUUGGUGGUCUCCUCCUCUCCAGUGGUAGCCCAGGCUCAUCUCCGGUUGUCUCUUUAGCGGUCACAGUCCAGUCUCCUCUAUGCUCAUCCACAGUUCAAUUUUCUCUCUGAUCUUCCAUCGUCAUGGCUCCUCUCCACUCCUCUUCAGUCCAUGCUCCUCUCUGAUUUGAAGUGGAAGCUAUGUCAGAUCCAUCUCAGCAUCUCCACACA
Molecule: long non-coding RNA, 267 nt
Filed under: Brassica napus (rape)
Lineage: Eukaryota; Viridiplantae; Streptophyta; Magnoliopsida; Brassicales; Brassicaceae
Description: long non-coding RNA (BNAP_LNC009104)
Source: RNAcentral